UAUCUGAGGAACAGAAAUGGGAGCAAAAACCUACCAAGGGACAGGUGGGGACAACAACCCAUUUAGAAACUGACAAGAAGAUGCUUCCAACCAUGAGUGCCAACCCUCAGGAAGAGCCCAAUUUAAUAUUGCAAGUUGCUGGAACUCCAGUUCCGUUUAUAAUUGAUAUGAGGGCAACCACAACCACUCUCGAUCAGGAAAUAGUAUCGGAAAAGGGAUUCCAGCUAUCAGAUGCUACAAUCACUCUGUCUGGGUUCGAAGGCACGGAACGUACCUAUUCACGUACCCAGCCACUGCAGCUGGAAUUCCAGGGGAGCCAGUGUGAGGUUUCAUUUACAGUCACCACCAGACGGGGGGUGUAAUCUAGCAGGGAGAGACUUGCUCUGUCCGUUGGAAGUCGAGAUUCUUUGCACAGACAAUGCUGUCACCCUUGUCAGGAGAACAACCGACAGCUUCCCCAGUUUCCGACCCCCAAGCACUUAAUUUGGAACCCACUCCUUCUGCCAGCAGCCAACCCUCGUGUGACUCUGUGCUUUGACCCUACGGGGUGCGUCACUGAGGAAAGCCAAUAUUAUGCACCCCCCGAGGGACAUAAGUUCCUAGUCACGGUGAUUAGAGAGGUUACAGGAAGAGACGGUAUUGCAUUACUGGCCGAAUUUCCAGAUUUCCUUUGGCGACAGACAGAACUGGUAGUUCCCCAUACCACCAUUAGGAUUUGCUCUGAGUUCAAGCCAAAGAGCCCAGGGUUCCUGGCCUACACCCUAACGAAGCAAGCCUCCAGCACCGAAGGAGACUGGCAAGACUUGGCCGUGGGUCUAGUCCAAUACGGGAAGGAGUCUGAGGUGAAGAUGGGAUAUCUGGGUGACGCCUCUGAGGAGGAGUGAGAACUGUGGUCCCAGAUGGGGUGCCAGAAAGACUCCAACCUAGGUUUUUGGAUCACCUAGUGGGACAGGUAUGUAAUGUCUAAAGGACCAGUGUUUGAGUAAAUGAGACUCACCAAACUUUCUCCUGACUGAAUCAAUGGAAUCUCCGAUUCUCCUGAGGCAGUUGUUCUCUC
This is a long non-coding RNA of Hypanus sabinus (Atlantic stingray), 1057 nucleotides long. RefSeq lists it as uncharacterized. Lineage: Eukaryota; Metazoa; Chordata; Chondrichthyes; Myliobatiformes; Dasyatidae. The record is from RefSeq and is a predicted model, not a curated record. The transcript is spliced from 3 exons.